This 253-nucleotide ribosomal RNA is filed under the name uncultured bacterium. Its description in RNAcentral is "partial 16S ribosomal RNA". It matches the Rfam family "Bacterial small subunit ribosomal RNA", at positions 524 to 776 of the family's 1533-position model. The record is from RNAcentral.
UACAGAGGUCUCAAGCGUUGUUCGGAAUUACUGGGCGUAAAGGGCGCGUAGGCGGCCUUCUAAGUCGAACGUGAAAUCCCCGGGCUCAACCCGGGAACUGCGUCCGAUACUGGAAGGCUUGAAUCCGGGAGAGGGAUGCGGAAUUCCAGGUGUAGCGGUGAAAUGCGUAGAUAUCUGGAGGAACACCGGUGGCGAAGGCGGCAUCCUGGACCGAGAUUGACACUGAUGAGCGAAAGCUAGGGGAGCAAACGGG